CCUACGGGCGGCAGCAGUGAGGAAUAUUGGUCAAUGGACGGAAGCCUGAACCAGCCAUGCCGCGUGCAGGAAGACGGACCUACGUAUUGUAAACCGCUUUUGUACGAGGGCAAACGCAGAUACGAGUCCCCGGAUGAAAGUAUCGUAAGAAUAAGGAUCGGCUAACUCCGUGCCAGCAGCCGCGGUAAUACGGAGGGUUCAAGCGUUAUCCGGAUUUAUUGGGUUUAAAGGGUGCGUAGGCGGUCAGAUAAGUUAGGGGUGAAAGCCCGAGGCUCAACUUCGGGAUUGCCUCUGAAACUGUUCGGCUGGAGUGUAGUUGCGGUAGGCGGAAUGUGUGGUGUAGCGGUGAAAUGCUUAGAGAUCAUGCAGAACACCGAUUGCGAAGGCAGCUUACCGGGCUACUACUGACGUUGAGGCACGAAGGCGUGGGGAGCGAACAGGAUUAGAUACCCGAGUAGUC
This 460-nucleotide ribosomal RNA is filed under the name uncultured bacterium. Its description in RNAcentral is "partial 16S ribosomal RNA". It matches the Rfam family "Bacterial small subunit ribosomal RNA", at positions 338 to 795 of the family's 1533-position model. The record is from RNAcentral.